GGAUUUGUCUAGCUGAUUGAUGUGGGAUUCAAAACGUAGACUAGAAUCAAACAUUAUACCAAGAUUGUGUAUAGUGGAAGAGGGAUGGAC
Long non-coding RNA from Sinocyclocheilus grahami, 90 nucleotides. RefSeq lists it as uncharacterized. The transcript has 3 exons. NCBI's taxonomy places the organism in Eukaryota, Metazoa, Chordata, Actinopteri, Cypriniformes, Cyprinidae. The record is from RefSeq and is a predicted model, not a curated record.